UACGUAGGGUGCGAGCGUUAAUCGGAAUUACUGGGCGUAAAGCGUGCGCAGGCGGUUUUGUAAGCCAGACGUGAAAUCCCCGGGCUUAACCUGGGAAUGGCGUUUUGAACUGGCAGUCUAGAGUGUGUCAGAGGGGGGUAGAAUUCCACGUGUAGCAGUGAAAUGCGUAGAGAUGUGGAGGAAUACCGAUGGCGAAGGCAGCCCCCUGGGAUAACACUGACGCUCAUGUACGUAAGCGUGGGUAGCAAACAGGAUUAGAUACCCUGGUAGUCCACGCCCUAAACGAUGUCAACUGGUUGUUGGGGGAGUGAAAUCCCUUAGUAACGAAGCUAACGCGUGAAGUUGACCGCCUGGGGAGUACGGUCGCAAGAUUAAA
RNAcentral lists this ribosomal RNA (376 nucleotides) under uncultured bacterium. RNAcentral's name for it is "bacterial SSU rRNA". It matches the Rfam family "Bacterial small subunit ribosomal RNA", at positions 524 to 898 of the family's 1533-position model. The record is from RNAcentral.